RNAcentral lists this ribosomal RNA (449 nucleotides) under uncultured bacterium. RNAcentral's name for it is "partial 16S ribosomal RNA". It matches the Rfam family "Bacterial small subunit ribosomal RNA", at positions 29 to 523 of the family's 1533-position model. The record is from RNAcentral.
AACGAACGCUGGCGGCAUGCCUAACACAUGCAAGUCGAACGAGAUCUUCGGGUCUAGGGGCGCACGGGUGCGUAACGCGUGGGAAUCUGCCCUUUGGUUCGGAAUAACAGUUGGAAACGACUGCUUAUACCGGAUGAUGACGAAAGUCCAAAGAUUUAUCGCGAGAGGAUGAGCCCGCGGAGGAUUAGCUAGGUGGUGUGGUAAAGGCGCGCCAAGGCGACGAUCCUUAGCUGGUCUGAGAGGAUGAUCAGCCACACUGGGACUGAGACACGGCCCAGACUCCUACGGGAGGCAGCCGUGGGGAAUAUUGGACAAUGGGCGAAAGCCUGAUCCAGCAAUGCCGCGUGAGUGAUGAAGGCCUUAGGGUUGUAAAGCUCUUUUACCCGGGAUGAUAAUGACAGUACCGGGAGAAUAAGCUCCGGCUAACUCCGUGCCAGCCGCCGCCGUAA